This 73-nucleotide transfer RNA is filed under the name Paramuricea clavata. It matches the Rfam family "tRNA". From Rfam's summary of the family: Transfer RNA (tRNA) molecules are approximately 80 nucleotides in length. Their secondary structure includes four short double-helical elements and three loops (D, anti-codon, and T loops). Lineage: Eukaryota; Metazoa; Cnidaria; Anthozoa; Malacalcyonacea; Plexauridae. The record is from Rfam by way of RNAcentral.
GACCGCGUAGCUAAGUUGGAAGAGCAUUGGGCUAGUAUUCCAAAGGUUGUAGGUUCGAAUCCCACCGUGGCCA